RNAcentral lists this ribosomal RNA (504 nucleotides) under uncultured bacterium. RNAcentral's name for it is "partial 16S ribosomal RNA". It matches the Rfam family "Bacterial small subunit ribosomal RNA", at positions 29 to 523 of the family's 1533-position model. The record is from RNAcentral.
AUUGAACGCUGGCGGCAGGCCUAACACAUGCAAGUCGGACGGUAGCACAGAGAGCUUGCUCUCGGGUGACGAGUGGCGGACGGGUGAGUAAUGUCUGGGGAUCUGCCCGAUAGAGGGGGAUAACCACUGGAAACGGUGGCUAAUACCGCAUAACGUCGCAAGACCAAAGAGGGGGACCUUCGGGCCUCUCACUAUCGGAUGAACCCAGAUGGGAUUAGCUAGUAGGCGGGGUAACGGCCCACCUAGGCGACGAUCCCUAGCUGGUCUGAGAGGAUGACCAGCCACACUGGAACUGGGACACGGUCCAGACUCCUACGGGAGGCAGCAGUGGGGAAUAUUGCACAAUGGGCGCAAGCCUGAUGCAGCCAUGCCGCGUGUAUGAAGAAGGCCUUCGGGUUGUAAAGUACUUUCAGCGGGGAGGAAGGCGAUGUGGUUAAUAACCGCAUUGAUUGACGUUACCCGCAGAAGAAGCACCGGCUAACUCCGUGCCAGCAGCCGCCGCAG